RNAcentral lists this long non-coding RNA (1140 nucleotides) under Nicotiana benthamiana. Its description in RNAcentral is "long non-coding RNA (NBEN_LNC013764)". Lineage: Eukaryota; Viridiplantae; Streptophyta; Magnoliopsida; Solanales; Solanaceae. The record is from RNAcentral.
AUAUAUAGAGAGAGAGUUGUAUAUUUCUAAUAGCAAAAUACACAUGAGUCUUUACAAGGGGAAGGUCCCCUUUAUACACUAAGGGACUUUCCUCGAAAUAAUCAAAGAAAAUUACAAGUGUUGCGUACGAGUGUCAGAGCUCGAAACGACGUCGCAGUGAGUCAUGUCACUCGGUCCGUCUACUAACUGAGGUCGGUCUUACUUGAGUCGACCAUAAUUAGGCCGUUUUCUUCACCGAGAACAUAGGUAGAUAGCGUAGGAACGUGGGGAACCAAAUUUGCCCAAUACAUAUAUAUUAUUGAAGAAUAUUUUAUUUAUUAAAUUUUAUCUUCAACAAACUAAAGUUGUUUUUUGCAUACAACAGCUAAAUUAACACCAGCAAAUACGACAACAACAAAAAAAAGAAAAAGAAAAGGCGAAGAAAUAGUAAACAUGCAAUGAAGCAGCAGCACAGAACCUUAACUUUGCUAGAUCUACGGCUGAUACCAAAACAUAACGUUGAUGUAGCCGUCGAUAACUUGCCGGAAACUUCUUCAUCAAAAUGUGAACCUCUACCACAAAAUCUCGGCCGUCUAUAGAAGUUAUUGGAAGGUGUUGCAGGAGCAGAAAGUGAAAAAUGUGAAGAAUAAGACGUCCACGAUAACGACAACGACGACGAAGAUGAUGAUGAGCAAGAAGGAGAUGGAGGAAAAUGGGAUUUCUUUGGAUUGAUUAGUUUCUUGAUUAAUGCAUGAAAAAGCUUGGAUCUUGAAUUUUUUUCUAGUUGGUUUUUUGUUUGUAUUGUUAUUGGAAUAGUAAGAAGGAGGAGGAGUUAAAGGAGGAAAAUUAUAAGAAGUUUGAGAAAGUGAAUGUUUAGGAGUUCCAGGUUGAGAUUCCCAAUGAAAGGAACAGAACUUGGAACAUCACCAUAGUAAACCCUAAAAGAAGGAAUGGCAUUAGCUAGUUUGGAGUUUUCUUUGGAAAGAAGCUUGUUGGUAAAGAACUUGGUGUCUUAAUCUUGCUUAAUUUGGAAAGAUUUGUGGAGAAAGUCACUGCAACUACUGACCAUUUUGGGAAGUUGCUGAGAGAUAAGAAUAGGGGACUUAGGAGCUAGCUUUUUAGCUUCAGUACUUAGUUUCUUGGGUUGGAGUAGGGUUCAUA